CAUGAAGCUGGAAUCGCUAGUAAUCGCGGAUCAGAAUGCCGCGGUGAAUACGUUCCCGGGUCUUGUACACACCGCCCGUCCACACCAUGGGAGUCGGAAAUGCCCGAAGUCUGUGACCCAACCUUAGGGAGGGAGCAGCCGAAGGCAGGCCGGAUGACUGGAGUGAAGUCGUAACAAGGUACC
Molecule: ribosomal RNA, 183 nt
Filed under: uncultured bacterium
Lineage: Bacteria
Description: partial 16S ribosomal RNA
Rfam family: Bacterial small subunit ribosomal RNA
Source: RNAcentral